UACCAGCACCCCGAGUGGUCGGGACGAUUAUUGGGCCUAAAGCAUCCGUAGCCGGCCUUACAAGUCCCCCGUUAAAUCCAACUGCUUAACAGAUGGGCUGCGGAGGAUACUAUAAGACUAGGAGGCAGGAGAGGCAAGCGGUACUCAGUGGGUAGGGGUAAAAUCCGUUGAUCCAUUGAAGACCACCAGUGGCGAAGGCGGCUUGCCAGAAUGCGCUCGACGGUGAGGGAUGAAAGCUGGGGGGGCAAACCGG
RNAcentral lists this ribosomal RNA (253 nucleotides) under uncultured bacterium. Its description in RNAcentral is "partial 16S ribosomal RNA". It matches the Rfam family "Archaeal small subunit ribosomal RNA", at positions 474 to 727 of the family's 1478-position model. The record is from RNAcentral.